UCGAGUUACAAGACUCCCAAACCCCCUGCGAACCGUACCCCACGCGUUGCCUCGGCGGGGCAGCCCCGGCGCCCCCGCGGCCCCGGACCAAGGCGCCCGCCGGAGGACCCCCAGACUCCCCUGUCGCAGUGGCAUUUCUCUCCGAGUCAAAAAAAAAAGCAAAUGAAUCAAAACUUUCAACAACGGAUCUCUUGGUUCUGGCAUCGAUGAAGAACGCAGCGAAAUGCGAUAAGUAAUGUGAAUUGCAGAAUUCAGUGAAUCAUCGAAUCUUUGAACGCACAUUGCGCCCGCCAGCACUCUGGCGGGCAUGCCUGUCCGAGCGUCAUUUCAACCCUCGAGCCCCCCCCUCCCCGGGCGGGACUCGGCGUUGGGGGUACCCGGCCCCGCGCCGCCCCCGAAAUGCAGUGGCGACCCCGCCGCGACCUCCCCUGCGCAGUAGCUCCCAGAGAACCUCGCACCGGCGGCGCGGAGGCGGUCACGCCGUGAAACACCCUCCACAGUU
Molecule: unclassified non-coding RNA, 502 nt
Filed under: Ophiocordyceps stylophora
Lineage: Eukaryota; Fungi; Ascomycota; Sordariomycetes; Hypocreales; Ophiocordycipitaceae
Description: partial contains ITS1, 5.8S rRNA and ITS2
Rfam family: 5.8S ribosomal RNA (bases 172-325)
Source: RNAcentral